This 246-nucleotide ribosomal RNA is filed under the name uncultured Lactobacillus sp. RNAcentral describes it as "partial 16S ribosomal RNA". It matches the Rfam family "Bacterial small subunit ribosomal RNA", at positions 108 to 355 of the family's 1533-position model. Lineage: Bacteria; Bacillati; Bacillota; Bacilli; Lactobacillales; Lactobacillaceae. The record is from RNAcentral.
GGGGAACCGUAGCCCCACUAGUCUGGGAUACCACUUGGAAACAAGGUGCUAAUACCGGAUAAGAAAGACGGAUCGCAUGAUCAGCUUUUAAAAGGCGGCGUAAGCUGUCGCUAUGGGAUGCCCGCGUGCAUUAGCUAGUUGGUAAGGUAAAGGCUUACCAAGGCGAUGAUGCAUAGCCGAGUUGAGAGACUGAUCGGCCACAUUGGGACUGAGACACGGCCCAAACUCCUACGGGAGGCAGCAGCU